RNAcentral lists this ribosomal RNA (244 nucleotides) under uncultured bacterium. RNAcentral's name for it is "partial 16S ribosomal RNA". It matches the Rfam family "Bacterial small subunit ribosomal RNA", at positions 524 to 772 of the family's 1533-position model. The record is from RNAcentral.
UACGGAGGAUCCAAGCGUUAUCCGGAUUUAUUGGGUUUAAAGGGUGCGUAGGCGGCCUAUUAGUCAGGGUGAAAGACGGUAGCUAACUAUCGCAGUGCCCUGAUACUGAUGGGCUUGAAUGUACUUGAGGGUAGGCGGAAUGUGACAAGUAGCGGUGAAAUGCAUAGAUAUGUCACAGAACACCGAUUGCGAAGGCAGCUUACUAAAGAUGAUGACGCUGAGGCACGAAAGCGUGGGGAUCAAA